AAUUUAUUUUAAUAGCUUAUUAGAGCAUAAUAUUGAAGAUAUUAGGGAGAUAUGAUUAUCUUAAAAUAU
RNAcentral lists this transfer RNA (69 nucleotides) under Libnetis sp. UPOL TH0082. Its description in RNAcentral is "tRNA-Phe". The record is from RNAcentral. Lineage: Eukaryota; Metazoa; Arthropoda; Insecta; Coleoptera; Lycidae.